This 1013-nucleotide long non-coding RNA is filed under the name Hordeum vulgare. RNAcentral describes it as "long non-coding RNA (HVUL_LNC005405)". The record is from RNAcentral. Lineage: Eukaryota; Viridiplantae; Streptophyta; Magnoliopsida; Poales; Poaceae.
UUGUCCCCAAAUCACAUGUCAUAGGGAAUAUUUAUAGUAAAGACAUGAUGAUGUCUUAAAAUGACGGAAUGGAAUCUCAAAUGUAAGAAAACAUUCUGUUGCAAUAGUAUUACUCAGGCAAUGCAUAUGAAUGAAAUUUACAAAAUUCAUGGAGAUAUCAAGUAACCGUCGUCGUCGCCGAUGAGUCGGGGCUGCUACGCAUCAGCCGUUGGCUGGAGAAAACUGCCACGCCACAUGCCUGAAGGCGUCAUUGCGCUUGUACUCCGAGAUAGGCGCGCCAUGGCUUAUAAGACCAUCAUCGUGUGUCGGCUGUUUGUUGUUGGUGUUGGACGCGGACAUCGCUACGCCGCAUGCCUGAAGAAACCGUGUUGUGUGCCGCACACAGGAGCGAUGUUGUACAAAAACGUGAAGUCGCUUCGAUCCUAAGAGUCGCGUUCUUCUUCUUGCCGUGGUUGAAGCUGUUACCGCUGAUGGGAUCGCACAUCACCGUUUUAUUUUAUUUUAUUCGGAAUGCUUGCUGAUUUAGGAAAAAACACAAUCGGUCAAUGAAUCAGUGAUGAUAAUCAUAAAUAGACAGUCAAGUUGGCUUUCUCCCGAUGGAUUUCUUAAAUGCAUACGUCAAUGCAUGCUCGUCUUUCCCAUGGAUGGUGUGCUAGAGCAGGCCGAUGGCCAGGAGCAGGCUGCGUGCCGAUUGUGAAUCGGGACAUGGGAGAGGCCUAGAGGGCCACGCCUGGUUGUCUUGUCUGCCUCGGUUAUCACGAGGGUGAGUGCGCCACGCUGAAGGCUGCAUCGCCGCGGUGGUUCGUGCCGAGGACGCAGCGGUGCGACGAAGAUCGAAGCUGUGAGCCGCUGUUGCGCUGUCGUCGGGUGUGGAAGUCUGGCGUCGCUACCUCCGUUGCAAGACAUAAUUCGCAUAUGGUCUUCUCUGUUUUAGCCUAUAUCUCUAAUGGAGAGCAAAUUGCAUGAUAACGUGUUUGGAGUAAAAAGUAAAGAACGAGAGAGAUGAAUGAAAG